GGAUCCAGACUUCGAUCCUGGCUCAGGAUGAACGCUAGCUACAGGCUUAACACAUGCAAGUCGAGGGGAAACGACAUCGAAAGCUUGCUUUUGAUGGGCGUCGACCGGCGCACGGGUGAGUAACGCGUAUCCAACCUGCCCAUCACUUGGGGAUAACCUUGCGAAAGUAAGACUAAUACCCAAUGACAUCCAUAGAAGACAUCUGAAAUGGAUUAAAGAUUUAUCGGUGAUGGAUGGGGAUGCGUCUGAUUAGCUUGUUGGCGGGGUAACGGCCCACCAAGGCGACGAUCAGUAGGGGUUCUGAGAGGAAGGUCCCCCACAUUGGAACUGAGACACGGUUCAAACUCCUACGGGAGGCAGCAGUGAGGAAUAUUGGUCAGUGGGCGAGAGCCUGAACCAGCCAAGUAGCGUGCAGGAUGACGGCCCUAUGGGUUGUAAACUGCUUUUAUAAGGGAAUAAAGUGAGUCUCGUGAGACUUUUUGCAUGUACCUUAUGAAUAAGGACCGGCUAAUUCCGUGCCAGCAGCCGCGGUAAUACGGAAGGUCCGGGCGUUAUCCGGAUUUAUUGGGUUUUAAGGGAGCGUAGGCCGGAGAUUAAGCGUGUUGUGAAAUGUAGAGGCUCAACCUCUGCACUGCAGCGCGAACUGGUCUUCUUGAGUACGCACAACGUGGGCGGAAUUCGUGGUGUAGCGGUGAAAUGCUUAGAUAUCACGAAGAACUCCGAUUGCGAAGGCAGCUCACGGGAGCGCAACUGACGCUGAAGCUCGAAAGUGCGGGUAUCGAACAGGAUUAGAUACCCUGGUAGUCCGCACGGUAAACGAUGGACGCCCGCUGUUGGCCUGAAUAGGUCAGCGGCCAAGCGAAAGCAUUAAGCAUCCCACCUGGGGAGUACGCCGACAGCGGUGCAACUCAAAGGAAUUGACGG
This 924-nucleotide ribosomal RNA is filed under the name uncultured Bacteroidota bacterium. RNAcentral describes it as "bacterial SSU rRNA". It matches the Rfam family "Bacterial small subunit ribosomal RNA", at positions 1 to 916 of the family's 1533-position model. The record is from RNAcentral. Lineage: Bacteria; Pseudomonadati; Bacteroidota.